Polyodon spathula (Mississippi paddlefish) is the source of this 5460-nucleotide long non-coding RNA. RefSeq lists it as uncharacterized. Lineage: Eukaryota; Metazoa; Chordata; Actinopteri; Acipenseriformes; Polyodontidae. The transcript has 2 exons. The record is from RefSeq and is a predicted model, not a curated record.
CGUCACCCUUCAUGACGCUAAUGUUUACAGCUAUGCAUUCGGGACUUUCUCGGUUUCUGUUGUCUUUAUUGUCUUUUAUUCCUUUAACGAACUGUCAGAAUGGAGAAUCCCGGGUCAGUGAACGCCCGUUUGCGGUUUGGCAACACCAGAACCUGGCUCUGCUGAUCGGCGUGCUCAGUGUGCUGUUGGUGGUCGUGAUUGUGAUGGCAGUCUGUGUUUACAGACCUCUCCACCGGCGAUAACCAACAGAGCAGAGUGACACAGAAAUGCCACGACAGCCACACCGUAGGGGGUCUGGAUCCCCAGGUUCCACUCCUGCUGUACCCCCACUAACUCACUCCAGCCUCACUAGCUCAAUCCCCAGAACUGCAAGCUAACUCAAUACUCACAAACGCACACCAGAGCCAUUCUCUUCCACCCCGGCCAAGUCACACCAGCCACACAAACCCACUCCUCACUAACUGCAGAGCCUGCCAGCAUGUUCACCCCCUGCUGUGUGUUAAUCAUGUGAGAUUUGUCUGUGUCAUGUCACUGGAUUUCCGAAAGGCACUGCUGAAUUUGGUUUUGGAUGUUAACCUGAUGGUGUCUGAAUCGUUUAACUGUUAGUUAGUUGCCUUUUUUAUUUUAUUUUUUGUAAUUAUGUUGCCAUUCAUGAGACAAACUGGAACUCACAAGAUUUCAAGUAAGAAGGGAACCUUGUGUAAAAUUUUCCUUAUCAAGAUGUAUCUUCAUAGAGUUUAUUUGUUUAAUUUGUAUUGCGGUAUUUUGCGGCAGAUGUACAGUAAUCGUCCACUAUCCACUGUCUCUGCCCAGCUCAAUUGACAAGGUAAUUGAAAUCGCAGCUAAAAAGUUUGUUCGUGUGAGCAGUUAUUCUUUCAGCAUAAUUAACUACCUGCAUUGUACAGACUUACUGUUUAAAUGCAGUAGAACCAGCGAAGUGAACACCCAGUAUUAAAUCAUGAUCUGUCAGGAACAGUUUAUGAUUUCGGUGCAUCUUUAACUCGGUAAAAAGUUCAUAGGCAUCAUCAUUUAUUUAUAUUUAUUUAUUUAUUUAUUUAUUUAUUGGGAGGGGGCUUUUAGGAAAAGUAAAACAGUAUGUUAAAUAUGCCCUAGUGGAUUUUGUAAUUGAUUUUCUUAAUCACGUCUUUUAUUGAGAGCACACAUGGAUACAUUCCACUGGGUUGCAGCCAAGAUAAAUAAACUGGAGAAAUAUCCCUUAGAUAAACUGAUCUCACCCUGCACUGGCCGCAGCAGGGAUAUGUCAGAGUGUGCAGAACCAAGCAAGUUAGUGCAGCUGUGUGAACUGCUCCAGUCGUUCUGUAGCUAAAGCUUCCAGACAGCUAUUAAGAAAGAGAGAAGAAGAUACUGCAUGGAUCACAAACACAGAACCACCGUGGAGUCAGUCUGAGCCCUGCAUUGAUGGAUCUUGGCUGAACUACAGCUGUGCACAAGAGCAAUGUCUGUCUUAACAGUAGAUAACAGCGACCAAGGCGUACAGCGAACCUUAGUUAGCUGCUGUACUUGAAACUUGUCAGGUGAUGUCACCAAAAUGAGGAAAAAAGAUUCUAGGAUCACCACGCCAUUGUGGGUCAUAAAUGGCUGAUGCUGAAAUGUUUGGUUGUAUAAACUCACUAUUGCAGGCCCAGUUUGUCUUGAAAGUUUCCCACAUCAAGCAAAAGGCAGCAUGCUCACACAACACCUAUGGACAGAUGUUUGAAACUGUAAAGUGAUUUUGUGACUUGGAGCUUCAGGUGCUCUGGGGGUAGAUCGGAAUGGUUUCUCGGCAGAGACUACUGGUUGAGUCCCUGGUUUGAAAAAAGCCUGAUGGAUCAGGAUCCUCGUGGACCAUCGUAUGUUUUUUUUUUAUGCAGAAACUAGACCCUGCUUGGUAGCAUUUGUGUUGACACUAAACUACAAAUAAUUAGUAUUGUUUUUAUAUUAUUUUUUUAAUGUUGACGUAUGCACUAGGUGAUAUGGGCAGCAUUGUCCUUAUGAAGAUGCUGUUUUUGGAAAGUGCUGGACAAGGGAGUAUUGCAGCUUCAUUAUUUAUUAGUAGGUACUGUUCGUUAAAGGCUCGCUAUAAAUCUGUUCGGUUUCAUUUGAACGGCACUUUCUUAAAUUUUAAUUUAUAUAUAUAUAAAUAUUUUCUUCUAGGUUUAUUUUGUAAAACCUUUUUAACCUUUUACUUUUUUAAUUGUGACAAAUAUGUGAACCGUCUCGCAUUCCCAAACGGUUAUAAUUCCUGUUAUUUAUUUUAACAUUACAUUUUUUUCUUUCUAUUAUGAGCUGUACUGAAAUAAAUACAAAGUAAAAGCUUCAGUUUGAAUUGCAGUUCUCCUGGCUUCUUGACAUCAAACAAUUUAACCUUAAAAGGAUAUUUGCGUGUCUCUGUGUGUGGUUAAUUAUUCACCCUUACCUAGCACUGCUCCCAAAGAGCCACCAAAAAUCUCAAGCCACCCAAUGAAUACCCAACACUUGAAACUCAUUUUCAGGUCUCAGGAAUGCUGGAAACCAUAAGACAGCUCGGGCCUUUAAAAAGGCAAUCAAAAAAAUGAAAUAAAAAAUCAAGGCCAUUGUUUAGAAACCAGACACCCAUUAGCAGCCAGUUCUGCCAAUAGAUGAGCAAACUGGUUUUUAAUAAAUCAGGCAGGAGCAGAUUCUUAAAGGAACCAAAGUGUCUUCCAAGGAGAGGUAUCUCUCUACUGGAGCAUGUCCAGAUCACAUGUCCCAGGUGUUUGUGUGUGUUCUAGCAUGCAGCUGUGCAGUUUCUACAGCCAGCAUCGUGUCUGUGAAUACAUGUAUGUUUGCGGCUUGAGGAAGCCAGGCUUUGUGGCAGGCUGUGCCGUGUCUGCUUUUUGAAAGAUAGUUGCCUAUAGAUCGCUCAUUAGCUCUGUCAAUUAGUUACCUUUCACCGACGCUAAAUUCACUAAUAAUAUCAGGAAAGAAAAGGAUAAAGAAUCCAGAGCCAUGGAAACAGAGUGCUUGGCUGGCACGCUGUCCGUUAGCUGUGAAUUGAACAAUCUGAAGUACUUUUCUAAACGUGGGUAUUCAAAUUGUUUCCUAUGUUUAGAAGAAGCUUGGUGAAUGUCUUGGUUUGCAGUGAAUACGGAUUUUAAGCUAUAGAAACAAGCAUGCUUGAGUGUUCCAGCACUCAAGGCUACCCAAAAUAAUCCACUCCGUGACCGCUCUCUCGCAGCUUUUGGCCUCUUCUCAGAACUGCAUUCAGAUGUUUUUUUUUGUUUUUUAUAAAUUUAGCACUGUUGUUUAAAAAAAGUAGAAAAACAACUCAUUAAUUACAAAAUAAGUGGUUUAUCCCAAUUAAACAUUUUUAGUAAAAAAUAAAUAGCCAAAUUGUAUGGUGCACUAGAAGACUGGGAAUCAUACUGCCUCUAUCCGGUCUGGGAUAUUGGAGGUUUGAUGAAUUCAUUUAUAAACAGCAGCUAUACAAAAAGCAUCUUACCUACAGGUGUCUUUAGUUGUGCACAUUGGAUUGUGCACUGCAGACAGAGGUGGCACAGCCCUAGUUUAAUAGUGGCACAAGAUGAGAUUGUAUUUUAUAGACUAGUUUCAGGGUGCAUGCAUCAGUGGAAAUUGUCAUUAAGCCCAUACGUUCAAACACUUUGUAUUUCGGUCAUGCAUGUCUACUUCUGAACCUGAAAAGAUAUUUUCUGUAAUCAUUUUUACUCUUGUGCAUUAUUCAUGAAUCCUCCUGUAUAUAUAUAAUCAUAAAAUCAGUACAUAAAAAUGUAAAAUAAUUACAAAUUUUAAAAAGUUCAUAAGGCUGUUCCAGGCACAGGCAGCAUCCUCAAUGCUAGCUUGUUCAGUUUGCCUGAUCUGGUUUAACACAAAGCAUGUUUUUAGUGUUGCGAUAAUAAAAUAAGUUUGUAACUGAAAGACUGAAGUAUUCACCUCAAAGACUGUUUAAAGUAAAAAAGAAGAACGAAGUUUGAGAGGGCUACCGUUCUGCUACAAACACACUUCAAACAUUUCGACACAGAGCUUUAGGCUUCAAACACACUAACAAAUGUCAUUUAAAUGUCCCUGGGGAUUGGAACCUGUCUGUCUAUGCGGGGUUGCAGAUGUCAAAUUAAAGGUACAAUAAAUAAAUAAAAAAAAAUAAAAAUAAAACUCCUGUGCAAAUUCCAUUGCCUUUAAUAUAGAAAUGUCAAAUUAUUUCUAUACCGAUAGUAACAAUUCUUCCUUUUCUUCUUUUUAAAAGGAAAAUACUGUAAAGCUGUAUCUAUUAGCAUGACCAUAUAUUUAUUAGCAUGCCUAAUUUUCUAACCAAGCACAGUAGCUAACCUAGUCAUGUCCUAGCGAGCUGUUUAGACAGGCACCCCAGUGGGUUUCUACUGAUCAACCCUGGUUAAAAUGCCCAUAAAAUUAAAGAUCAAUCUACCAGGCUUAUUUUUAUGUAUUUAUUUUUAAUAGCAGAUGGAGGCACCCACUGUACCUGCCUACAGAUUAUCAAUUACAAAGCAGACUGUGCUUAUAAUAUGCAUUAUAUCAUCAGCAUAAUUGUUCAUUGGUCGUCUCUCUGUUUCGUUCAGGUGUGACGUUCCUGGAGCAGAGGGUCAAAUUCUAGAUAAUCAACAUGGUGUGGCCACCCUAUUUAACACAAUAAUAUAUGAUGUUCCCUACGAUGCCUCUUAUGUAUUUCCUAAGUGGGUGUACUGUGCAUUUAUUGGGAUUUAUGUUAAAAUGUCAUUUAUAGAAUUGGGUGAAGAAUGAAGCAAGUAUAAAAGCCUCCUGUACAUUCCCAUAGAAAAGGUUUAGUUGGGAGUGUCAGAUUUGCCUGUAUCACCAUCACACUGUAUCAAACGCCUCCACAGUUUACAAUUACUGCGAUUCUGAUCCGUUUCUGGAGAGCAGUGACUGCUAAUCACAGGGAACUCAAUUACAGCAGGAAUUAGGGCUAAGGUCUCCCACACAGUACUGGGUUGCAAACAUUCACAGUAAUAUAUCGAUAUGGUUUCCAUACAACUCGGUUUAGUAAUCCUCAAUAAAGUGCAAACCCUAUAGAGCCCAUUGUGACAGAGUGGCAUGCAACAGGAAGAUGCAGCUGUUAUAUAUUCCCCAAUACAAGUCAAGAAUGCCAGGGGCAUACAAAGUAUAAGCAAGAGAGGGACAGGCUAUUUGUACAAAGAUGUUCGCUACAAACUAUGCCUUUACUGUAUAAAAUAGGGCCGUAAGAAAACACUGCCACCUGCUGGUUCAUUUGAACAAGAACGUAACGUAAAUAAGAAAAACUUCUUAGAUUGUUUUUUCAUGUGUUAAUAAAUCACACAAUCAGACAAUAUGAAAAUAGAAUACAUUUAAUUUCUUAAAGACAAUAUCAGUGUGCUUUUAGGAAACAUACUGCCAAGAAAUGUAGAAAAAGGUAGAGAAAAAAUGAAAUAAAGUGCUUUUUUCCCCCCUUUUUUGAAAACAAAGGGUAUUUUGAGGGUAUAACUGGCAUCU